RNAcentral lists this ribosomal RNA (685 nucleotides) under uncultured Chromatiales bacterium. Its description in RNAcentral is "bacterial SSU rRNA". It matches the Rfam family "Bacterial small subunit ribosomal RNA", at positions 65 to 744 of the family's 1533-position model. The record is from RNAcentral. Lineage: Bacteria; Pseudomonadati; Pseudomonadota; Gammaproteobacteria; Chromatiales.
AACGAUGGAGAGCUUGCUCUCCAGGCGUCGAGUGGCGGACGGGUGAGUAAUGCAUAGGAAUCUGCCCAGNUAGCGGGGGACAACUCGGAGAAAUCCGAGCUAAUACCGCAUACGCCCUACGGGGGAAAGCGGGGGACCUUCGGGCCUCGCACUAUUGGAUGAGCCUAUGUCUGAUUAGCUUGUUGGUGGGGUAACGGCCUACCAAGGCGACGAUCAGUAGCUGGUCUGAGAGGACGAUCAGCCACACUGGGACUGAGACACGGCCCAGACUCCUACGGGAGGCAGCAGUGGGGAAUAUUGCACAAUGGGCGAAAGCCUGAUGCAGCAAUGCCGCGUGUGUGAAGAAGGCCUGCGGGUUGUAAAGCACUUUCAGUUGGGAGGAAAAGCAAUGGGCCAAUACCCCGUUGUCUUGACGUUACCUACAGAAGAAGCACCGGCUAACUCUGUGCCAGCAGCCGCGGUAAUACAGAGGGUGCAAGCGUUAAUCGGAAUUACUGGGCGUAAAGCGCGCGUAGGCGGUUUGGUCAGUCGGAUGUGAAAGCCCCGGGCUUAACCUGGGAAUUGCAUUCGAUACUGCCAGACUAGAGUGUAGUAGAGGGAAGCGGAAUUCCAGGUGUAGCGGUGAAAUGCGUAGAUAUCUGGAGGAACAUCAGUGGCGAAGGCGGCUUCCUGGACUAACACUGAC